RNAcentral lists this ribosomal RNA (465 nucleotides) under uncultured Klebsiella sp. Its description in RNAcentral is "bacterial SSU rRNA". It matches the Rfam family "Bacterial small subunit ribosomal RNA", at positions 338 to 795 of the family's 1533-position model. Lineage: Bacteria; Pseudomonadati; Pseudomonadota; Gammaproteobacteria; Enterobacterales; Enterobacteriaceae. The record is from RNAcentral.
CCUACGGGGGGCAGCAGUGGGGAAUAUUGCACAAUGGGCGCAAGCCUGAUGCAGCCAUGCCGCGUGUGUGAAGAAGGCCUUCGGGUUGUAAAGCACUUUCAGCGGGGAGGAAGGCGGUGAGGUUAAUAACCUCAUCGAUUGACGUUACCCGCAGAAGAAGCACCGGCUAACUCCGUGCCAGCAGCCGCGGUAAUACGGAGGGUGCAAGCGUUAAUCGGAAUUACUGGGCGUAAAGCGCACGCAGGCGGUCUGUCAAGUCGGAUGUGAAAUCCCCGGGCUCAACCUGGGAACUGCAUUCGAAACUGGCAGGCUAGAGUCUUGUAGAGGGGGGUAGAAUUCCAGGUGUAGCGGUGAAAUGCGUAGAGAUCUGGAGGAAUACCGGUGGCGAAGGCGGCCCCCAGGACAAAGACUGACGCUCAGGUGCGAAAGCGUGGGGAGCAAACAGGAUUAGAUACCCGGGUAGUC